Neofelis nebulosa (Clouded leopard) is the source of this 2948-nucleotide long non-coding RNA. RefSeq lists it as uncharacterized. The transcript is spliced from 14 exons. The record is from RefSeq and is a predicted model, not a curated record. Lineage: Eukaryota; Metazoa; Chordata; Mammalia; Carnivora; Felidae.
CGAUUGGUCAGGCUGCCUUCGGGGAUCCCUUGUUAAUUGGGUAUUCACUUUGCCUGGCCUGGUAACCUAGAGUCGGAGCCCCGCCCCUUAGGAGGUGGUAGUGGAGAGUCGGGGGAGUAGGGGAAUCUCUUCCUCCCCGAGUGGUCCUUGAAGAGGAAGGCCCCCACCCCAAAUGUGUGGCCAAGAAAACCAUUCAUGGAUUGAAGGAAUACAGUGUCUCACAAACAGUGGAACAUCGUUCCUGAGAGAUUUGGGUGAGAGUUGUCCCCAGAAUCCAACAAACCAUGAGGUUGGCAGUUCUAAGUGCACUGAAGCACUAAGGACCAGUAUAAUAUUUCACACAGGAAGCCAUCCCACUGACAUUCCAGGAGGACAUGAAAUGAUAUUUUCAGAUAGCUGAUGCCUAUAUACCAGGAAGUUCCCAGCAUUUUAUAGGUAUCAGCUUCUUAAAGCUCACAACAUUCUGUGAGGUACUGUCACUGCCCUCAUCUUAAAGACGAGGAGAUUGAUGUGGAGAGAGAACAUAAGUGGGGAAGCAGCAGAGAGAGAGGGGGACAGAGGAUCUGAAGCCAGUUCUGCGGUGACAGGCUGACAUCAUUGAGCCUGAUGUGGAGCUCGAGAUCACAGACCAUGAGAUCAUGGUCUGAGCUGAAGUUGGAUGCUCGACUGAGCCUCCCAGGUGCCCCUCAACUAAGAAUCAUUAACUUUAGUAUCAUAGAAGGAAUGGAGACAGCUUGGUUCUUGUUCAUUUUUGCUCAUGAAACCUUUCUGUAUACUGGAAGUACAUAAUAGAGGAAAGGCUCAGUGGAAUGGAGGAAGAGAGAUAAUCAUAGAAACCCACAUUGAGCUUAAUGACCCCUGGGAUGCAAUUUGAAGAUGAGUAUUCCAAAUUAUUUUUUCUCUGUCCAGAUGAUAGACUAAUAAGAGAAUCAAUCAGUCAGUCAAUCAAACUCAAUCAAUAAGAACCGAGCAAGGCUCAUCUGAGCAAUGAUGGAUGGUACUUGAAAGUGAAUUAGUGACUGAUUUGGAGAGAUUUCAGAGAGGUAGAGCUAACAGUGGCAAAUCAAGUUAACUUGUAUAUAUUGCUGACAGGAUGUGGGCUGGGCAAUAGCAAAUCCUUUCCAAUAGCCUCCAACUGCUUGUGAAGCUGACCUAGAGGCUGCUUCAGAUAUGAUAGAUUGAAACAAUUCCAUCUGAAAUCAUUUUUUCAGCCUUGUAAUUUUUGUAAUAAUAUGUAUCAAGCUUAGAAAUCUGAAUUUAAGCAUCUGAAUACAUCUGAACAGAGGCAGACAAUUCCCAACAAUGCCUCCAUGACAAUAUGCUGUUGGUUGCUAAUUGGAAAAAAGCACAAGCAGUAAUUAGAAGGCAUUCUGUUGCUUGCUGGAAGGCUUCUCCCCUAAAUGGUUAAAAUAUUCAGCUUUAUAGGGUAACAACCUGAUUUAAAUUUUUGGAGUGUUGUGUUAGCAAUGCAUAUUUACUUUUUUUUUUUUUUUUUUUUUUUUUUUAGUCAUGUAGGAUGUGUGCACCAGCUUAAAAAUCAAGUCAUGCUCCAAAUGGUUACUAAUAUGGCCACUCCUGGGACCUCCUCUUUACUCCCUCUAGAGACGAAAUCCCUCUCGUGUCAAUUCACCUCAAUGCCUAUCUAAGCCACUGCCCUUCCUCCCAGUCCUUUUCAGGCCAUGGUGACAGCAGGCUCUUUUCCCCAGGUGUUGACAAUCAACCCUUCAGCAAGAUGAUUGCCAGACAGAAGAGGAACAUUUUGUAAUGCGUCCUGAAAGAAUGUCAAACCCAGACUUUUAGAAAAUUCAGAAAGAGAAAUUGAGCAUGUGAGCAGGGAAGAUGGGAAGAGGGAUAGAGAGAGAGAAUCCCAAGCAGGCUCCAUCUCUAACAUGGAGCCCUAUGCAGGGCUUGGUUUCACCACUCUGGGAUCAUGACCUGAGCUGGAAUCAAGAGUCAGACACUCAACCGACUGAGCCACUGAGAUACAGAGCAUGAACAGAGGAGGGACAGAGAGAGGGAGACACAGAAUCUGAAGCAGGCUCCAGGUUCUGAGCUGUCAGCACAGAGCCCAACAUGGGGCUUGAACUCAUGGACCGCAAGAUCAUGACCUGAGACGAGAGAGAGACAGAGAAAGACAGAGGCUGAGGAAGGGAAGGCAGAGAGAGAGGGAGACACAGAAUCCAAAGCAGGCUCCAGGCUCGGCGCUAUCAGCACAGAGCUGGACGCAGGGCUCAAAGCCAUGAACCGUGAGAUCAUGACCUGAGUCAAAGUCAGAUGCUUAACUGACUGAGCCACCCAGGCUUCUCUGUGCUAUGAAAGUUUCUCAGACUUUCCUAGUUUUUGAUGACCUGGACGAUUUUGAGGGCGCAUUCUCAUCUUAUUCUGGAUUUAAGGGACAAAAAAUCCAUUAUCUUUUCAAUUUACAUCACAAAGUAGGAAGAACUUGGCUAGAAAUAGCUAAGGUUCUGCUGACAAGAGGAUUUAACUGGGAAUGUGCUCUUGGAAUUUCUGAAUUUGAAGAAGUAUGAUUGCUGAAAGCAUACCAAGUGUUUAAAAGGACUAACUCAUGAGAUGAUAUGAUGCCUGGGCAGCACCAGAAUUGUUAAAAAUGGACUGACAGAAAUGUAUCUGUAGUGACUCUUUUCCUACUUCAGCCUUCAAAGGAACACAGCCACCCAUAUCCAGUCUGUAUCCUGGAAAGACUUAUGACUAACCAAAGAGAUGGGAGACCAUGAAAAGAGUCAGUCAUGGAUUGAAGAGAACAGACAGACAUGGUCUCCCACAGUCUGGAAGUAGUUUUAAUGAAGAACAUGAUCAACCAGAAAGCAGAAGGAGGGUGUGUAGAGGAAAUAGACAAAACAAACAAAGAAGCAAACAAAUGGUACCUGGUUGCAGUCCUGUCUUCGGUUGGCCAAGAAUGUGAAUAAAUGUUAUACGCCUGGAUCAAA